RNAcentral lists this transfer RNA (74 nucleotides) under Candidatus Pacearchaeota archaeon. RNAcentral describes it as "tRNA-Arg". It matches the Rfam family "tRNA". Rfam says of the family: Transfer RNA (tRNA) molecules are approximately 80 nucleotides in length. Their secondary structure includes four short double-helical elements and three loops (D, anti-codon, and T loops). Further hydrogen bonds mediate the characteristic L-shaped molecular structure. tRNAs have two regions of fundamental functional importance: the anti-codon, which is responsible for specific mRNA codon recognition, and the 3' end, to which the tRNAs corresponding amino acid is attached (by aminoacyl-tRNA synthetases). tRNAs cope with the degeneracy of the genetic code in two manners: having more than one tRNA (with a specific anti-codon) for a particular amino acid; and 'wobble' base-pairing, i.e. permitting non-standard base-pairing at the 3rd anti-codon position. Lineage: Archaea; Nanobdellati. The record is from RNAcentral.
GGGCCUAUCGCCUAGCCUGGAUAGGGCACUCGGCUUCGGACCGAGAGACAGGGGUUCAAAUCCUCUUAGGCCCA